RNAcentral lists this ribosomal RNA (763 nucleotides) under uncultured bacterium. Its description in RNAcentral is "bacterial SSU rRNA". It matches the Rfam family "Bacterial small subunit ribosomal RNA", at positions 8 to 796 of the family's 1533-position model. The record is from RNAcentral.
AGAGUUUGAUCAUGGCUCAGGACGAACGCUUGCGACGUGCCUAAGAAAUGCAAGUCGAACGGGGGAGCAAUCCCUAGUGGCGAACGGUCGCGUAACACGUGGGCAACCUGCCCCAGAGCGGGGGACAACAGUCCGAAAGGACUGCUAAUACCGCAUGUGGACUGCUCCGGCAUCGGAGUUGUUCUAAAGGAUUUAUUCACUCUGGGAUGGGCCCGCGGCCUAUCAGCUAGUUGGUGGGGUAACGGCCUACCAAGGCUUCGACGGGUAGCUGGUCUGAGAGGACGAUCAGCCGGAUUGGGACUGAGAUACGGCCCAGACUCCUACGGGGGGCAGCAAUUAGGAAUCUUGCGCAAUGGGCGAAAGCCUGACGCAGCGACGUCGCGUGGAGGAUGAAAUCUUUCGGGAUGUAAACUCCUUUUACCAGGGAAGAAGAAUGUGACGGUACCUGGGGAAUAAGCCCCGGCUAACUACGUGCCAGCAGCCGCGGUAAUACGUAGGGGGCGAGCGUUGUCCGAAGUUACUGGGCGUAAAGAGCGCGUAGGCGGGUUCUUAAGUGAGGGGUGAAAGGUUCGGGCUUAACCCGGACACUGCCUUUCAUACUGGGAACCUUGAGUGCGGGAGAGGCGAGUGGAAUGGUCGGUGUAGCGGUGAAAUGCGUAGAUAUCGAUCGGAACACCCAUGGCGAAGGCAGCUCGCUGGCCUGCAACUGACGCUGAGGCGCGAAAGCGUGGGGAGCAAACAGGAUUAGAUACCCUAGUAGUCC